UUAAAGGGCUGCAGUAUAUUGACUGUACAAAGGUAGCAUAAUCAUUAGUCAUUUAAUUGAUGACUUGUAUGAAGGAUUGGAUGAAAUAUAAACUGUCUCUUAAUUAUAUUUAGAAUUUAAUUUUUUAAUUAAGAAGUUAAAAUAAAUUAGAAAGACGAGAAGACCCUGUAGAGUUUUAUAAAUAAAAUUAAUUGAGAUUAUAUGUAAAAGUUAAAAUUAAGAUUAAUUUAUUUAUUUUGUUGGGGUGACAGAAAAAUAUAAAAAACUUUUUAUAUAUUUAAAACGUUGAUAAGUGGUUAAAUGAUCCAAUAUUAUUGAUUAUAAGAAAAAAUUACCUUAGGGAUAACAGCGUAAUUUUUUUUUUUAGUUCAUAUAAAAAAAAAAGUUUGCGACCUCGAUGUUGGAUUAAGAUAAAAUUUAAAUGCAGAAG
This 430-nucleotide ribosomal RNA is filed under the name Sesamia typhae. Its description in RNAcentral is "partial 16S ribosomal RNA". The record is from RNAcentral. Lineage: Eukaryota; Metazoa; Arthropoda; Insecta; Lepidoptera; Noctuidae.